This 497-nucleotide ribosomal RNA is filed under the name uncultured bacterium. RNAcentral's name for it is "partial 16S ribosomal RNA". It matches the Rfam family "Bacterial small subunit ribosomal RNA", at positions 28 to 507 of the family's 1533-position model. The record is from RNAcentral.
GAUGAACGCUGGCGGCGUGCCUAAUACAUGCAAGUCGAGCGAACGGACGAGAAGCUUGCUUCUCUGAUGUUAGCGGCGGACGGGUGAGUAACACGUGGAUAACCUACCUAUAAGACUGGGAUAACUUCGGGAAACCGGAGCUAAUACCGGAUAAUAUUUUGAACCGCAUGGUUCAAAAGUGAAAGACGGUCUUGCUGUCACUUAUAGAUGGAUCCGCGCUGCAUUAGCUAGUUGGUAAGGUAACGGCUUACCAAGGCAACGAUGCAUAGCCGACCUGAGAGGGUGGUCGGCCACACUGGAACUGAGCCACGGUCCAGACUCCUACGGGAGGCAGCAGUAGGGAAUCUGCCGCAAUGGGCGAAAGCCUGACGGAGCAACGCCGCGUGAGUGAUGAAGGUCUUCGGAUCGUAAAACUCUGUUAUUAGGGAAGAACAUAUGUGUAAGUAACUGUGCACAUCUUGACGGUACCUAAUCAGAAAGCCACGGCUAACUACGUG